This is a non-coding RNA of Polypterus senegalus (gray bichir), 413 nucleotides long. The record is from the annotation of a RefSeq genome assembly. Lineage: Eukaryota; Metazoa; Chordata; Cladistia; Polypteriformes; Polypteridae.
UUGUUCAUGAGAGAGCACUGCAUUCCAAAAUGCAGCUUCUUCUGCUGUUAUACUGUAUUAUUACUUUUGUACAUUAUGCUCUUUGCCAAUCUUCAGUGAAGGUCAGCCAGUCACCAUCCCAUAUAAUAGUGAAGCAGAAUCAGUCUCUGAAAAUUCAGUGUAAUCAGAGUGCUACUAAUACCUACAUGGACUGGUAUCGGCAGCAGGGCUCAAGUGAACUUCAGCUGGUGUUGCGAGCUCUGUACAUGAGCAAACCAGAGUAUGGCGACAACAUACCCAAAAGAUUCAAUGCAAUUCGAUCAACACUAGAAAGCACCACACUCACAAUUGAUAAUGUAGAGACGUCUGACACAGGACUGUAUUUCUGUGCAGUUAGUGACACAGUGCACUAUAAUGUGAUAUCUGUAAUGUAA